UACAGAGGGUGCAAGCGUUGUUCGGAAUUAUUGGGCGUAAAGCGCGUGUAGGCGGCUUUGCAAGUCGCGUGUGAAAUCCCUCGGCUUAACCGAGGAAGUGCGCGCGAAACUGCAGAGCUUGAGUACCGGAGAGGAUGGUGGAAUUCCCCAAGUAGAGGUGAAAUUCGUAGAUAUGGGGAGGAACACCGGUGGCGAAGGCGGCAUCCUGGACCGACACUGACGCUGAGGAGCGAAAGCCAGGGGAGCAAACGGG
This 253-nucleotide ribosomal RNA is filed under the name uncultured bacterium. RNAcentral describes it as "partial 16S ribosomal RNA". It matches the Rfam family "Bacterial small subunit ribosomal RNA", at positions 524 to 776 of the family's 1533-position model. The record is from RNAcentral.